RNAcentral lists this ribosomal RNA (377 nucleotides) under uncultured archaeon. Its description in RNAcentral is "partial 16S ribosomal RNA". The record is from RNAcentral.
CCUAUGGGGUGCAGCAGGCGCAGCAGAUGCUAGCGAGGGGCAAAGGUGAGUAGCCCAAAUCUUCGAUCUGCAGCUGAGCGAAGCGCCACCGCGAACUUUGAGACCUUUAUCGCCGCAAUGCGUGCCGAUAACCCACUUCGCAUCGCUGGCUGGGAUGAUAUGUGUUGGGAACUAGGUCAGCGCAAGCGUGCAUCGAGCGGCCGCCGGGAUCGAAUCUGGUUCAACAAGAAUUUCGUCAAGAAGGUUACGGAGCACAACGCUGAGCCUUUUCCUGCCGCGUUUGGGGAGUUGUUGCGGGCCAUUGUGUGUGCGAGGGAACAGGGCAGGGCCACGCCUUUGGACUCGAACGAUCACAUGCGCCUGCUGCCCCCCAUAGG